GUUUUUUCUAGCGGAAGGGUUAUGGGAAGGUGCUGUUUUAAUAUGGCCUUUCUUCUUCUGGGGCACUGCCAUGGUAGCGAUGCUGCUUGCUUUCAGGGAUUUCUCGCCGAAGGGUUGCAGAAGACUUCAGCUGGUUUGGGCAGUGUAUGCUUGCAGAAGACUUAGUCAAUUGAACGGCUGAGUUAUAUGUCGAAACGAGUGAAGUUAGUUUAUAAAGUGUUGUAUGCGUGUCACAUUGAUAAUUGGAUUACAGGGAAAUUUGAUUUGACUUCGGUUUAUGUUGAUUUGGAUUUUAGAUUGCAGUGAGAGCAUGAAUUGUUGCCAUUUUUUACUAUCUAGCUUGGAUAUAUGGCAGUUUAUUAUUGAUUCACAAACUUUGACAGUGGAUGUACUUGCAGCUUUGUUAUUUGGUGAGUCCAUUGGCAUUAUUGGAGCUGCUGGGCUUGUACGUAUAUGAACACGCGCAGGUGAAUCCUGCAAAUGAGAGAAUGCUUGGAGGUGGUGGUGCUGAUGGAGCUAUACACAGGGCUGCAGGUCUGGAUCUUCUUAGAGCAUGUCGGAAUGUUCCAGAAGUCAGGCCCGGAGUUCGCUGUCCCAUGGGGGAAGCAAGGAUCACACCGUGAGUUCUAAGUUUUACAUAUGGUAACCUUUUUGAUGUGCAUGUUUUAUACUUAUGUUUGGUUGGAAUAAGAAAAAUUAUUAAGAAACAUCUUGAG
Long non-coding RNA from Vicia villosa (hairy vetch), 716 nucleotides. RefSeq lists it as uncharacterized. The transcript is spliced from 3 exons. The record is from RefSeq and is a predicted model, not a curated record. Lineage: Eukaryota; Viridiplantae; Streptophyta; Magnoliopsida; Fabales; Fabaceae.